RNAcentral lists this ribosomal RNA (413 nucleotides) under uncultured prokaryote. RNAcentral describes it as "bacterial SSU rRNA". It matches the Rfam family "Bacterial small subunit ribosomal RNA", at positions 505 to 918 of the family's 1533-position model. The record is from RNAcentral.
GUGUCAGCAGCCGCGGUAAUACGGAGGGUGCAAGCGUUGUCCGGAAUCACUGGGUGUAAAGGGUGUGUAGGCGGGGCUGUAAGUCAGAGGUGAAAUCCCACGGCUUAACCGUGGAACUGCCUUUGAUACUGCAGCUCUUGAGUCCCGGAGAGGUGGCUGGAAUUCGUGGUGUAGCGGUGAAAUGCGUAGAUAUCACGAGGAACACCAGAGGUGUAGACGGGUCACUGGACGGGUACUGACGCUGAGGCACGAAAGCGUAGGGAGCAAACAGGAUUAGAUACCCUGGUAGUCCACGCCGUAAACGAUGGAUGCUCGGUGUUGCCCCGCUUUAGGGGCAGUGCCUAAGCUAACGCGUUAAGCAUCCCACCUGGGGAGUACGGCCGCAAGGUUGAAACUCAAAUGAAUUGACGGGG